GGCCCCAGGACAUCAUUAUGGAGAGGAAGAAACUUCCCUGUUAAGGUCAGGGUGAGUGGAAGGGUUGGGAAGUGGCUAUCAGGUGUUUUCUUAUCUCCAGUCAAGGCUGUGACUCUAAUUUUUGUAGACUUAACCCUGUCUGCCCGCCCCUGGAACUGCAUGUGUCACUGGGCAGCAGUGUGGGAGCAGUGUGGCCUCGAUGCUGGCCAGUCACUGCUGUGGCUGCCCUGAUGCAACUGCAGCUCUGUAGGUACUGCUCUAUGUUUGCGUAGGCAGUGGUUGUGCCUUUGGUUGCGAUGUAGAUGUACCCAGUCAGACGAGACCGCAUAUGUUGGCAAUGGGAAUUGGUGGUUGGCAGUGACUGUGGCAGUGGGUGUAAGCAGUGAGUUGAGGGUUUGGGAAGUAAAAUGAAGUGAGAUGCCAGAUGACAGAGGGAAGUGGCAACUGGCAGUGCAGCCUGGCUGUUGCUGUUGGCAUUGAGAUGUGGCUUUAGCAGGAAAAGGAGGCUCUGUGCUCCCUGUCAAGAAAAUGUGACUCUUAGCAGUAAGAUGUGAUUCUGUUGCUGAUAGAGCUGAAGUAUUUUUUGCAUUGAUGCAUUUGCUGAUGGACCUCAACUUCUGAAGAUUAUGUCCUUUUGCUGAUGGACCUCAACUUCUGAGGAUUAUGUCCUUCAUCCUCUCAAUCCCACAGUUCCCUGGGGAAUCCUGUUCAACUGGGCCUUAAAAACGACUCUUCACUGUGCUGUAUGUUAUUUCUCAAGGAGAGAGUGAAGACAAUUCCAGGGAGAUGGACAGCUCAAGCAAGUGAAUGGGAGAAACAGUUCUCAUCCAGAUGCUCAGGCCAACUCCACCCUGAAACUGCUAAAUGAACUGGAACUGCAAAGUGAAAUUGCUGAGAGCCUGUUUCUGUAUUUGAAUGGAUUUCUUCAUUCAUGUACCAUGGCCCUGGAAGACUGGAGUACCUCCCUUACAGACAUCCAUGAGGGAGCAGAUGACAUCUAUCACAGAUGGGACCCCUCACAACUUCUGCGUGCUUGCCACACCUAUUGCUUGUACUGCCUGAUCCUGUAUGUCCCAAAGACGCCAGGUUUGCUAUGUACUUCCAGCCUAUGUGUGCACUACUGGGUAGUGUUUGCAUCCACAAAGUCACGGUGUCCCCGUUACAGAGCUGAUCUACACAUGUGUACUAGUGCUGUGUCCAGGAUUUCCAGCAGCUUGGUUUGAACCUUUGCUCCGGCUAAACUGCCUAGCACAUGAAAAUAAUGGGCAAACACUGGAAGUCCUUCCAGUCCAUCCAGUAGCCUUGUCCAUGGGGUUUAUUAGCUCAGGUGCAGUGCAGGACAAAGGCAAGAAACCUGCCUGGGCUGGGGAAGUAUUGGAACUGCUUCCUCAGGAAUCUGGAGUGCUGGGCAAUGCCAUGCAAGGUUAUUAGUGUGACUGUAGUUUUUGCUGUCUGCAUGUGUAAUAUCUAGGUUUUACUGCUAUCUGGAGUAUCCUAACCUCUGGUCUCCUGGAACUAAGUGGAACUACAGUUCAAAACCUGAAUAGCAAACACAAUUUCUCAAAUUUACGUUUUCUGAGCAGUUCUAUUGACUUAAGGUUAAAAAGAAGCAUAAGCAAUUUUGGGGUCUUAAAUCGUCACAAGACAAACUAAGCUGAUAAGUUUAAAGUAAGGUAUAAAAUUGCAAACAGAUCAGACACAAAUCCUCUCAGAUACAUCGUAAAGAAUUUCUGCUUCCUUCAGACAGUUCAGACAAGUUUUAAUUUUUGGCUUUAUUUUAUUUGGCUUAUUUCAGAACAUUAUUGAAGAAACAUUCUUCUCUUCACUGUCCUAAUGGCAGAGUAUAGAGAAGUUGUAGUGCAAGAGGCAAUGGACACAAGUUGGAAUAAUAGCAAUUCCAAUUAGAUCUAAGAAAAAAGAAUUUACCAUAAGGGUGGUGAAACACUGAAACAGGUUGCCCAGAGAAGCUGUGGAGUGCCCAUCCCUGUAUACAUUCAAAACCUGACUGGAUAUGCCCUUGAGCAACCUGACCUGGUUGGAUCUGCUCUGAGCAGGAUGUUGGACUAGACAAUCUUCAGAGGUCCCUUCCAACCUAAAAACUAUUCUGUGGCCUUAUGUUAUAUAGAUAGCAUCCACCUCCCUGUUCCAUCUGGAAAGAUGCUCAAACCCAGAAAGCAAAUAUGUCUUUGAGAGCUACUGUGAUGAUAAGUGCUGUUUAGCUGCUGCAAAUCAUGUCCUUCCAUUCACGGCUGCAAACAUUUUCCUUUGUAAGUGGUGUCACCCCCAAGAGCUGUUCAGGUAAGAUUCUAUGCAACACUCAUCUCCUGAAGAGCUGGAUUCUUAUCUGUAAAUACAAUUUUACUGCUUUUCUUGUGGUCCUUUGAAUGUAGCUCUGUAGCCUUGGGCAAAUCAUUUUAAAUUCAUGUGGUUCUGUUAGUUUUGGUAAACCUGCAUAUGCUGAUGAGCAUGUCCCUUGUCCUGUAAACACUGAUGCACUUUCUUAAUUAAGUGGAGGGUAUAAAUGCAACAGGUGAGGCUUGUCCCUAACCCUUCUAACCUCAUAUCAUGUAAUGUUUUCUGCUGGCAGAAAUCAUGUGCUUUCCAGCUCUGCACCAUGCUGUAAUUUCUCUAUAGCUUCUUAUAACUGAUAUAUUUUGUUGAGAAGCUAAAGAGAAGACCAGGUGUUAUACUAGGAAUCCAGAAAUCCACAGCUGAAGCAAAAUUUGUGAAAUACAUUUGAAUAAAAUUGGAAAUCUUGUUGAUAAACUCUGAAAU
RNAcentral lists this long non-coding RNA (2775 nucleotides) under Dromaius novaehollandiae (emu). Its description in RNAcentral is "lncRNA (ENSDNVG00000015331.1)". The record is from RNAcentral. Lineage: Eukaryota; Metazoa; Chordata; Aves; Casuariiformes; Dromaiidae.